CUGACAGGCAGCCUGAGAGGCAGCAACCCUGACAACUCAACGCGUAAACUGAGGCAACGAUCACAUUGACCAAUCAUGGCACCAACACUAAUGCACAUUUUCUUGAUUCUGUUUGUUCCACAAGUCAACCAGAGAAAAUUUUAAUUAACUAUUAGUAAAAGAAAUCGCAAUCAGCUGAAUCAGCUUCGGCUGAAAAAAAUAGUAAAAUAAUCACUCUGCAAAAACACAAAAUCCUACCGGGUGGAAAAUUUUGGUCAAAAAGACAAAUUUAACUUGACAGUAACUUUUUAGCAAGAUAUAGAAGCUUGUUUUAAGUAAAUAAUGUAAGUUAAACAAUCUGUUAAUGGAACAAUAUUGAUAUAGAAAGUUCCACUGGCAGAUUUCACUUGUAACGGGAAAAACAUCUUGUUAUAAAGUGAAAAAAUCUGCUAGAACUGGUUACUAGGAGACGGGCUGGGCUUGGCUGGGGUUGCUAGGUAACGGCUCUAGUUCUCCUUUCCAAUGGAACUAGAAUUUUUUCAUCAAUAUCAAGGAUUUAUUUACUUACUUAUUUCAAACAAGCCUCUAUCUUGCUAAAAAGUACUUGUCAGUUUUGUCUUAUUUCAAGUUUGCUAAGAUAUUUUUAUUAGCAACCAGACAAAAAAAAAAUACUUGGAAAGAUUUUCUGUUUUUGCAUUUCAAUCAAUCAAUCCAGUUUAUUUUGACUUCAGAGGUUCUGAUGUGGAUCUGAAACCGUUUUUUGGGGGUUUUUUUAACCUGGACUUUUGAACUAACAAAGAAAAAAGUGCAUUUUGUGUUCUUGCUGCUUUACUUGUGAUCGUUGUCUCACCCAGCAGGCGUCGCAUCUGAGCAGAAACACACCAACGAGGCAGAGGUGGGCAGAGUAUCCAAACAUUACACUCAACUAAAACUAUUUGGUAAAAAGUUUACUCAAGUACUGAUCAAAUUAUCAGUCAUUUAAUAUUUAAAAAUUACAUUAUCAGUGGGUAGAGAAUCCAGGAGUUUUACUCAAAUAAGAGUAGAAGUACUGCAUAAUAAAAUUACUCAAGUAAAAGUAAAAAGUAAAUUUUUUCAAGUAGAUUUAACUAGUUACCACCCAACUCUGCCUAAAUGCAGUCAGUUUUGUUGAACGAAUGUCAAAGAAAUCCCAUUUUCUUGCUUUCAGGAAGAUUAGAUUUGCAUCAUGUUUGGCAAAACCUGCAGCCGCUCUGAUGAGCGCGACUCGCUGUAAAUCGACGUCCAGUCCGGUUUCUGCUCAGAUGUGGUGAAGGUUGCAGAAAUCCCCGAGCUCUGCGGCUCUCCAGCAUCACUGCAGGAGUCGGCAGCGAUGCGUCGAAUGUUGGAGAGGUGAUUUCAUCGACCGCCUGCUGGGCAACAUGCUAGGGUUGCUGUCUCUCAUGGGAGAAGAACUUAUUUUUGUUGCUUUAUAUUUACUUUCAAAACUUAUUAAGAGACUUUAAAGACUUGUUCAAACAUUUUGUGAAGUUCAUCUGGACGGCGAGGCGUUUAGUUUUUUGGUUUUUUUUAGCAGUGUAUGGAGAGGAGGAUGGAUGCAGAGGAGGCGCAGGAGGUUGGAGGACAGAGUGAACAAAGCUGUGUUGAAUCGGUUUGACUGCAGAGACGAGCCGGCUUCCAGCGGCUCGCUGCCAGUUGCUUAGUAACUGGUGUUUUCAGCUAAAGUCUACAGUCAAAAUGUCCAAAUUAAAGAGGACCUGAAGAAACAAGUGACCAAGCAAACGCAUUCCUCCAGGGGACACGUUGUGUCGGUUUGCUACAGAAAGGGACGUCAGCGGCGGCAGCAUGGAGUCUCGCUGCUUUACUGACAUCAACAGUGGGGCCCCCCUCAGGCGACCUGCACACACUCUGCUGUAAUGGGCCUCCUCAUGGUUGGAGGUCUCCUGUCAAAUCUCGGAGCUGAAAACCCCCCGGAGAAGAGCGAGGGUUUGAAGUCGGAAUAAAGAAUCAGAGGGAGGAGAGAAAGCAGCUCUCCUCUGGGCUUUUUCCCGCAGCCAGGUGUGAACGCUGGACGGUGGCGCGGUUCGCUUCCUGAGUGGAUGAAGACAUCAAAGUACAAACCUAAACACAGUGGACAGAAUCCUGUUUUAUUCUCAAAGAACUCGGUUUAGACGGUCCAAAAAGAGAGAUGGGCAGAAAGCCUGGAGCGAUCUUCCUCCCUCCUCCUCCUCCUCCUCCUCCUCAGCAGGACCCAAUCUUCUCUUCGCUUGGUAAAUCUUUAGGUUUCUGAAGGUCACCGCAGGGGGGCUUCACUGCGAGGAAGGUGACCGAACCUUUGCCUGAAAGGAACAAAAAACUGACAGAAAGUUUUACAGGAUGGUUUUCAUUUUUUAAAUUUCCUCUCUGAGGGAGAAGGAGACUUUUCUUCCUGUCCUUGUCAGAUCCUCUGCUGAUUGAAAUCAGCAUGAUCAGGUGGAAUCGAGGAAAUGAAAUCUUAUCAGUUUGAUCAUGACUGGAUUUUAUUGGGUUAAAAGUUGCAGGAAGGAUUUUUUUUGUUUUGUAUAAUUAUUAUUAUUAUUAUUAAGUUCUGGAGUGCCUCCCGUCAGUCCCAGACGGAGAUCUCCAACGGAUCAGAGAUGGAGAAUGAAACUAUUCAUUCAUUUAUUCAUUCAUUUAUCCACCCACCUCCCAUCAGGGCGCCUUCAGAUUGAAGCCGUAACCAUUGAACAGUUUCUUAAACACAUUUUUCCAUUUAAUUACAGAAAAAAUCACCGUCUCUUCACUCUCAUUAACUCAACGUCUGUAAUUGCUGUUUAAUGGCAGUUUGUGGUUUAUAAAAUUAGCUUCUCAGCCAUGAAUCAACUGCUGUGUUUAACAAAGUCUAUAUUUUAUAUCUUUAUUUAUAAUUAAGAUCUAAAUUAUCUGCAAAAGUUUCAGAUAAAUUCUCUUAUUUGCCUCACAGAAAACCUGACAGUGGGUAUUAAAAGUCUAAACAACCAUGUAAAAUUUCAGCUUUUAUGAUGCAAACAUAACUUUAUUUUUUAAAAGACCUUUUAAAUGGUGACACUGAUUUUCUACUAUCAUGAGUUUUAAGGUGAUGAUUAAUUCUGAAAACAGGAUUAAGAAAAUUUCAGCAUUUUCAGUUAUUUAUUUGUUAUUCCCCCUUCAAGAUUUCAGUACCUAAAGGGAGAUAUAUAAGUGAGAAACUUUAAUCUCAAAAUUCUCAGACUUGAAAACUCAAUCUGGGAUUAAACUCACAAUUUUCACUUUAAAAUAAUAAAAGUUAACUUUUUUUUCUCUGAAUUAUCACUCUAAACUCAGAAAUCUGACUUUUUUUCCCAGAAUCAGUCCAUGAGACAAACAUGGUGUUAACACUGAAAUCUACCAAAUAAAUUUUGCACAGGCUUUGAGUGCAAGUUAUUUAUUUAGUUAUUUAUUUGAAUCUACAUUAAAUUAUUCAGUUGUUAGAUAAAAAUCAAAGUUUGGGACUUACAGUCAAAAAUGUAUUGAUUUUUUUUGUAGGUGGCACUAAUCCUCUUCCAUAUAAUCACACUGAAUAUGGAUUUAAACAAAAAACGAAAACCUGCCAUUUCAACGUGAGUGUACAGGUUUUUAUACCCACUCUUGUACAGCAGAAACUUUUAUUUUCCACGUGUGAUGAGACUCAUAACCACAUGCCUGUCUUGUAAACUCACUCAGAGAGGAAAUGCUGCGCUGCACAAACUACUGCUGACUGUCCCAGCGUCUCACUGCCAAACUAAACCCGUUCCUCUCCUCCGUUCCUCCGUCCUCACUGCCGAUUUAUACCUUUACUCACUUUAUCUCUCCUCUCUCCACUUUCAUUGGAUUUUUUUAAUCUCCGCUGGCUUUACCACCUUGACAGGUAAAUACAUUUGAGUUGCUAAAGCUCAUAAAGGAGUAAAAUGGUGAUAAAGGAAGAAAAUAAUUCUCCAAGACGUCUCAGUGUCUUAUCUUUUCACUUGCUCUCGCGCCUGUCUCCUCUUGAAAGAGCUAAAACUCUCAUUACUCCGCUGUCAGCUGCUGCAGAAAGAAAGAAAAAAACCUGUGUAGGUUUUUUCACUGCAAAAACACAAAACCUUACCAAGUAUUUUGGGUCUAGUUUCUAGUGCAAAUAUCUUAGGAAACUUGAAAUAC
Long non-coding RNA from Gambusia affinis (western mosquitofish), 4110 nucleotides. RefSeq lists it as uncharacterized. NCBI's taxonomy places the organism in Eukaryota, Metazoa, Chordata, Actinopteri, Cyprinodontiformes, Poeciliidae. The record is from RefSeq and is a predicted model, not a curated record. The transcript is spliced from 3 exons.